RNAcentral lists this ribosomal RNA (737 nucleotides) under Serratia liquefaciens. RNAcentral describes it as "bacterial SSU rRNA". It matches the Rfam family "Bacterial small subunit ribosomal RNA", at positions 56 to 784 of the family's 1533-position model. Lineage: Bacteria; Pseudomonadati; Pseudomonadota; Gammaproteobacteria; Enterobacterales; Yersiniaceae. The record is from RNAcentral.
UGCAGUCGAGCGGUAGCACAGGGAGCUUGCUCCUGGGUGACAAGCGGCGGACGGGUGAGUAAUGUCUGGGAAACUGCCUGAUGGAGGGGGAUAACUACUGGAAACGGUAGCUAAUACCGCAUAAUGUCUACGGACCAAAGUGGGGGACCUUCUGGCCUCUUGCCAUCACAUGUGCCCACAUGGGAUUAUCUAUUAGGUGGGGUAAUGGCUCACCUAUGCGACAAUCCCUAUCUGGUCUGAGAGGAUGACCACCCACACUGGAACUGAGACACGGUCCACACUCCUACGGGAGGCGGCAGUGGGGAAUAUUGCGCAAUGGGCGCAAGCCUGAUGCACCCAUGCCGCGUGUGUGAAAAAAGCCUUCGGGUUGUAAAGCACUUUCUCCGAGGAGGAAGGGUUCUGUGUUAAUAGCACUGUGCAUUGACGUUACUCGCACAAAAAACACCGGCUAACUCCGUGCCACCAGCCGCGGUAAUACGGAGGGUGCAAGCGUUAAUCGGAAUUACUGGGCGUAAAGCGCACGCACGCGGUUUGUUAAGUCACAUGUGAAAUCCCCGCGCUUAUCGUGGGAACUGCGUUUGAAACUGUGAAGCUAUAGUCUUGUAUAGAGGGGUAUAAUUCUACGUGUAUCGGUGAAAUGCGUAUAGAUCUGGAGGAAUACCGGUGUCGAAAGCGCCCCCCCUGUACAAAGACUGACACUCACGUGCGAAAGCGUGUGGAGCAAACACGAUUAUAUA